Molecule: microRNA precursor, 82 nt
Filed under: Colius striatus (speckled mousebird)
Lineage: Eukaryota; Metazoa; Chordata; Aves; Coliiformes; Coliidae
Description: mir-128 microRNA precursor family
Rfam family: mir-128 microRNA precursor family
Source: Rfam by way of RNAcentral
GUGCAGCUGGAAGGGGGGCCGUUACACUGUAAGAGAGUGAGUAGCAGGUCUCACAGUGAACCGGUAAAAAUCAGGCCACUCC